GUGGAUAACCUGCCUCAAGGCUGGGGAUAACAUUUGGAAACAGAUGCUAAUACCGAAUAAAACUUAGUAUCGCAUGAUAUCAAGUUAAAAGGCGCUACGGCGUCACCUAGAGAUGGAUCCGCGGUGCAUUAGUUAGUUGGUGGGGUAAAGGCUUACCAAGACGAUGAUGCAUAGCCGAGUUGAGAGACUGAUCGGCCACAUUGGGACUGAGACACGGCCCAAACUCCUACGGGAGGCUGCAGUAGGGAAUCUUCCACAAUGGGCGCAAGCCUGAUGGAGCAACGCCGCGUGUGUGAUGAAGGCUUUCGGGUCGUAAAGCACUGUUGUAUGGGAAGAAAUGCUAAAAUAGGGAAUGAUUUUAGUUUGACGGUACCAUACCAGAAAGGGACGGCUAAAUACGUGCCAGCAGCCGCGGUAAUACGUAUGUCCCGAGCGUUAUCCGGAUUUAUUGGGCGUAAAGCGAGCGCAGACGGUUGAUUAAGUCUGAUGUGAAAGCCCGGAGCUCAACUCCGGAAUGGCAUUGGAAACUGGUUAACUUGAGUGUUGUAGAGGUAAGUGGAACUCCAUGUGUAGCGGUGGAAUGCGUAGAUAUAUGGAAGAACACCAGUGGCGAAGGCGGCUUACUGGACAACAACUGACGUUGAGGCUCGAAAGUGUGGGUAGCAAACAGGAUUAGAUACCCUGGUAGUCCACACCGUAAACGAUGAAUACUAGGUGUUAGGAGGUUUCCGCCUCUUAGUGCCGAAGCUAACGCAUUAAGUAUUCCGCCUGGGGAGUACGACCGCAAGGUUGAAACUCAAAGGAAUUGACGGGGACCCGCACAAGCGGUGGAGCAUGUGGUUUAAUUCGAAGCAACGCGAAGAACCUUACCAGGUCUUGACAUCCUUUGAAGCUUUUAGAGAUAGAAGUGUUCUCUUCGGAGACAAAGUGACAGGUGGUGCAUGGUCGUCGUCAGCUCGUGUCCUGAAAUGUUGGGUUAAGUCCCGCAACGAGCGCAACCCUUAUUGUUAGUUGCCAGCAUUCAGUUGGGCACUCUAGCGAGACUGCCGGUGACAAACCGGAGGAAGGCGGGGACGACGUCAGAUCAUCAUGCCCCUUAUGACCUGGGCUACACACGUGCUACAAUGGCGUAUACAACGAGUUGCCAACCUGCGAAGGUGAGCUAAUCUCUUAAAGUACGUCUCAGUUCGGACUGCAGUCUGCAACUCGACUGCACGAAGUCGGAAUCGCUAGUAAUCGCGGAUCAGCACGCCGCGGUGAAUACGUUCCCGGGUCUUGUACACACCGCCCGUCACACCAUGGGAGUUUGUAAUGCCCAAAGC
RNAcentral lists this ribosomal RNA (1322 nucleotides) under Leuconostoc citreum. Its description in RNAcentral is "bacterial SSU rRNA". It matches the Rfam family "Bacterial small subunit ribosomal RNA", at positions 117 to 1427 of the family's 1533-position model. Lineage: Bacteria; Bacillati; Bacillota; Bacilli; Lactobacillales; Lactobacillaceae. The record is from RNAcentral.